RNAcentral lists this ribosomal RNA (253 nucleotides) under uncultured bacterium. Its description in RNAcentral is "partial 16S ribosomal RNA". It matches the Rfam family "Bacterial small subunit ribosomal RNA", at positions 524 to 776 of the family's 1533-position model. The record is from RNAcentral.
UACGUAGGGUGCAAGCGUUGUCCGUAUUUAUUGGGUUUAAAGGGUGCGUAGGCGUCCUAUUAAGUUAGUGGUAAAAACGUUCGGCUUAACCGGAUACCCGCCAUUGAUACUGAUAGACUUGAGUGCGACAGAGGGUGUUGGAAUGUGUGGUGUAGCGGUGAAAUGCUUAGAUAUCACGCAGAACUCCAAUUGCGAAGGCAGAUGCCUAUGUCGUAACUGACGCUGAGGCACGAAAGCGUGGGGAGCAAACAGG